AGCGAACGCUGGCGACAGGCUUAACACAUGCAAGUCGAACGGGCACUUCGGUGUCAGUGGCAGACGGGUGAGUAACGCGUGGGAACAUACCUCUUGGUUCGGAACAACACAGGGAAACUUGUGCUAAUACCGGAUAAGCCCUUACGGGGAAAGAUUUAUCGCCGAGAGAUUGGCCCGCGUCUGAUUAGCUAGUUGGUGUGGUAAAAGCGCACCAAGGCGACGAUCAGUAGCNGGUCUGAGAGGAUGAUCAGCCACAUUGGGACUGAGACACGGCCCAAACUCCUACGGGAGGCAGCAGUGGGGAAUAUUGGACAAUGGGCGCAAGCCUGAUCCAGCCAUGCCGCGUGAGUGAUGAAGGCCCUAGGGUUGUAAAGCUCUUUUGUACGGGAAGAUAAUGACGGUACCGUAAGAAUAAGCCCCGCUAACUUCGUGCCAGCAGCCGCU
This 444-nucleotide ribosomal RNA is filed under the name uncultured bacterium. RNAcentral's name for it is "bacterial SSU rRNA". It matches the Rfam family "Bacterial small subunit ribosomal RNA", at positions 29 to 519 of the family's 1533-position model. The record is from RNAcentral.